UACGUAGGGGGCCAGCGUUGUCCGGAAUCAUUGGGCGUAAAGAGCGUGUAGGCGGCUCGAUAAGUCCGCUGUGAAAGUCCAGGGCUCAACCCUGGAAGGCCGGUGGAAACUGUCGGGCUAGAGUCCGGAAGAGGCGAGUGGAAUUCCCGGUGUAGCGGUGAAAUGCGCAGAUAUCGGGAGGAACACCAAUGGCGAAGGCAGCUCGCUGGGACGGUACUGACGCUGAGACGCGAAAGCGUGGGGAGCGAACAGG
This 253-nucleotide ribosomal RNA is filed under the name uncultured bacterium. RNAcentral's name for it is "partial 16S ribosomal RNA". It matches the Rfam family "Bacterial small subunit ribosomal RNA", at positions 524 to 776 of the family's 1533-position model. The record is from RNAcentral.